GAUCCUGGCUCAGGAUGAACGCUGGCGGCGUGCUUAACACAUGCAAGUCGAACGGAGGACCCUUGACGGAGUUUUCGGACAACGGAUAGGAAUCCUUAGUGGCGGACGGGUGAGUAACGCGUGAGGAACCUGCCUUGGAGAGGGGGAAUAACACAGAGAAAUUUGUGCUAAUACCGCAUGAUGCAGUUGGGUCGCAUGGCUCUGACUGCCAAAGNUUUAUCGCUCUGAGAUGG
RNAcentral lists this ribosomal RNA (233 nucleotides) under uncultured bacterium. RNAcentral's name for it is "partial 16S ribosomal RNA". It matches the Rfam family "Bacterial small subunit ribosomal RNA", at positions 15 to 228 of the family's 1533-position model. The record is from RNAcentral.